UACAGAGGUCUCAAGCGUUGUUCGGAUUCAUUGGGCGUAAAGGGUGCGUAGGUGGCGUCGUAAGUCGGGUGUGAAAUUUCGGAGCUUAACUCCGAAACUGCAUUCGAUACUGCGGUGCUUGAGGACUGGAGAGGAGACUGGAAUUUACGGUGUAGCAGUGAAAUGCGUAGAGAUCGUAAGGAAGACCAGUGGCGAAGGCGGGUCUCUGGACAGUUCCUGACACUGAGGCACGAAGGUCAGGGGAGCAAACGGG
This 253-nucleotide ribosomal RNA is filed under the name uncultured bacterium. Its description in RNAcentral is "partial 16S ribosomal RNA". It matches the Rfam family "Bacterial small subunit ribosomal RNA", at positions 524 to 776 of the family's 1533-position model. The record is from RNAcentral.